This 258-nucleotide ribosomal RNA is filed under the name uncultured bacterium. RNAcentral's name for it is "partial 16S ribosomal RNA". It matches the Rfam family "Bacterial small subunit ribosomal RNA", at positions 1234 to 1500 of the family's 1533-position model. The record is from RNAcentral.
CAGGUACAGAGAGAAGCCAGGUGGCGACACCGAGCGGAACUCGAAAGCCUGUCUCAGUUCGGAUCGGAGUCUGCAACCCGACUCCGUGAAGCUGGAUUCGCUAGUAAUCGCGCAUCAGCCAUGGCGCGGUGAAUACGUUCCCGGGCCUUGUACACACCGCCCGUCAAGCCAUGGAAGCCGGGAGUGCCUGAAGUAUGCAACCGCAAGGAGCGUCCUAAGGUAAAACCGGUGACUGGGGCUAAGUCGUAACAAGGUAAC